GUCUGGGUCUCCCCUCCACCUCCCUGUCUAGCCUCCUCAGUCUGGGUCUCCCCUCCACCUCCAGGUCCACCCCCCUCAGUCUGGGUCUCCCCUCCACCUCCCGGUCUAGCCUCCUCAGUCUGGGUCUCCCCUCCACCUCCAGGUCCACCCCCCUCAGUCUGGGUCUCCCCUCCACCUCCCGGUCUAGCCUCCUCAGUCUGGGUCUCCCCUCCACCUCCCGGUCCACUUUCCUCAGUCUGGGUCCCCCCUCCACCUCCCAGUCAGCCAGAAAGUGAAUCUGAUGACUCAAACUCACUAAAACCAGUCCCCAUCAGGAGAGACCAUGGAGUCUCCCAGGUCACCCCCCUUAUUCCGUCAGCCAGAAGGUGACGGAAUAAACAACGUUUAUAGGUCAUAAAAGUCGAAAAAGCUAAAUAGACAACUGAUAUUACAGCGUGGUAACGCUGGGGUCGGUCAGAAUCGACACCACGAGGCGGUCCUGUUGGUGGGAGGGUUCGUGCGUUGUUUGAUUAACAAGUGGGGGCUUUAAAUAAAGGCAGCUCUCGGGGUCGUGCGGUGUUUGGGGCGCAAGAGUUGCAAACUAAGUUAACAAGGCGCCUUGUUCAAACUACAUGCGUCCGUCGACGGAUGGGGGCUUUUUGAGGCCUUGUUCACACUACAUGCGUCCGUCGACGGAUGGCCGAGGGUGUGUCUGACGUAUAGGGGACUAGUUUUUGCAGACACAUACUGCCAAUCAAAUCGCUUCCCACUACACAGCCGAUGUGUGGAUCUUAAAUACAUUGCACUUUCUAAAAAGCUUUUUUAACUUUGCCUUUAUUUUCUAUUUUAAUACUAAAGUGCCUGCUUUUUAACUUUCUAUUUUAAUCAUUUCUUUGCAUUAGGGGUACAUGUCAUGUCCGCGGGUUGUAUUUAUAAAUUGUAGAAAAUAUCUUUAUUUUUUAUUUCACUUAAAAAGGUCAACCAAUUCUAUAAAAAAAAAAUCAGACAACGCAUAUUCUAUACUAGAAGUUGCUGUUUUUGUGCUGUCCUAAUUGCUGAAUGUCAGGUGUUGCUUUAAGAAAAAAAAAUAAACAAUGUGUUUUUGAGAA
Molecule: long non-coding RNA, 1088 nt
Organism: Gadus morhua (Atlantic cod)
Lineage: Eukaryota; Metazoa; Chordata; Actinopteri; Gadiformes; Gadidae
Exons: 2
Source: RefSeq, a predicted model, not a curated record